AAGGAAGAGUUUGUGUGGCUGGCAGUGACAAGGAAGAGUUUGUGUGGCUGGCAGUGACAAGGAAGAGUUUGUGUGGCUGGCAGGGUGACAGGGAAGAGUUUGUGUGGCUGGCAGAGUGACAAGGAAGAGUUUGUGUGGCUGGCAGAGUGACAAGGAAGAGUUUGUGUGGCUGGCAGAGUGACAAGGAAGAGUUUGUGUGGCUGGCAGAGUGACAGGGAAGAGUUUGUGUGGCUGGCAGUGACAAGGAAGAGUUUGUGUGGCUGGCAGUGACAAGGAAGAGUUUGUGUGGCUGGCAGAGUGACAGGGAAGUUUGUGUGGCUGGCAGUGACAAGAAAGAGAGUUUGAGUGGAUGGCAGGGAAGAGUUUCAGUGGCUGGCAGGGUGACAGAAGAGUGUGAGUUGUUGGAAGGCUAAAAGGUUAUAGUUUGAGUGGCUGGCAGGGUGACAGGGAAGUUGUCAUGGUUGGCAGGGUGACAAGGAAGUUUUCAUGACUGGCAGGGUGACAGGGAAGAGUAUGAGUGCCUGGCAAGGUGGCAGGGAAGAGAGUUAGUCACUGGCAGUGUGGCAGGAGGGAGUUUGAAUUGCUGGCAGGGUGACAGGGAAGGGAAUUUGUCACUGGCAGGGUGACUGCGUAGAGUUUGAAUGGCUGGCAUGGAGACUGGGAAGGUUUCGAGUGGCUCGGAGGGUGAUAGGAUAGAGUUUUAGUAACUAUAAUGAUGACAUGGAGGAGUUUGCAUGUCUUUUAGGCUGAUAGGGAAGUUUCAAUGGCUGGCAGGGUGACACCUAUGAGUUUGAGUGGAAGGCACGGUGACAGGGAAGGGUUUGAGUAUUUGGCAGGAUGACUGGGAAGAGUUUACAUGGUUGGUAGGGUAAUAGUGAAGAGUUUGAGUGGCUGGCAGGGUGACAGGGAAAAGGUUGUUGAAAGGGUUGUCUUGGAGGGUUUCAGGGAAGAUUCUGAGUGGCCGGCAGGAUGACAGGGUAGAUUUUGUUUGGUUUAUAGGGUGACAGGAAAGAAAUUGAAUGUCUGGCAGGGUGACAGGGAAUAGUUUGGGUGUCUGGCAGGGUGACAGGGAAGAGACUUGAAGGUAAAUGGCUUGCUGGAUGACUAAGAAGAGUUUGAGUGCUUGGCAGGGUGACAGGGAAGAGAGUAAAUGGCUGGAAUGAUGACAGGGAAGAGUUUGGGUGGCUGACAGGAUGACAGGAAAGAGUUUGAGUGACUGGCAGGGUGACAGGAGAGUUUGAGUCUCAUAGAUUCACAGGAAAGAGUUUCCAAAAUCUGACAAGGUAAUAGGGAAAAGUUUGUGGGGCUGGCAGGGUGACAGGGAAGAAUCAGAGUUGCUGACUGGAUGUCAGGAAAGAGAAUUAGUUAUUGGCAGGGUGGCAGGGAAGAGUUUGAAUUGCUGGCAGGGUGACAGGGAAGAGUUAUAGCUGCAGGCAGAGUGGCAGGGAAGAGUUUGAGUGGCUGACAGGGUGCCAUAGAAAAGACUGAAUUGCUGGUAGUUUGACAGGGCUGCAAUGUGACAGGGAAGAGAUGUAGUUGCUGGAAGGGUGGCAGGAAAGAGCUUAAGUGGCUGGCAGGGUGGCAAGAAAGAGCUUGAGUUGCUAACACAGUGACAUGGAAGAUUAUGCAUGGCUGGCAGGGUGACAGGGAAGAAUUUGAGUGGCUGGCAGGGUGACAGGAGCUUGAAUUGCUGGCAAGGUGACACAGAAGAGACUCAAUAGCUGGUAGUUUGACAGGGUUGCAGGGUGACAGGGAAGCGAUGUGGUCGCUGGCAGGGUGGCAGGGAAGUUUGAGUGGCUGGCAGUGUGGCAGGAAAGAGCUUGAGUUGCUAGCACAGUGACAUGGAAGAGUAUGCAUGGCUGGCAGGGUGACAGGGAAGAAUUUGAGUGGCUGGCAGGGUGGCAGGAAAGAGUUCAAAUUACUGGUAAGGUGAAAGGGAAGAAUUUGAGUGCUGGCAGUGUGACAGGGAAGGAUUAGAGUGGCUGGCAAGGUGACAGGGGAGCAUUUAAGUUUCAGGCAGGGUGAGAGAAGUUUAAAUGGCUGGCAGAGUGGCUGAAGAGUUUGCAUGGCUUUAGGAAGGUAACAGGGAAGAGUUUGAGUGGCUUCAGGAAGGUGGCAGGGAAGGGUUUGUUUGAGUGGCUUCAGGAAGGUGGUAGGGAAGGGUUUGAGUGGCUUCAGGAAGGUGGCAGGGAAGAGUUUGAGUGGCUUCAGGAAGGUGGCAGGGAAGAGUUUGUUUGAGUGGCUUCAGGAAGGUGGUAGGGAAGGGUUUGAGUGGCUUCAGGAAGGUGGCAGGGAAGAGUUUGUUUGAGUGGCUUCAGGAAGGUGGCAGGGAAGAGUUUGUUUGAGUGGCUUCAGGAAGGUGGCAGGGAAGAGUUUGUUUGAGUGGCUUCAGGAAGGUGGUAGGGAAGGGUUUGAGUGGCUUCAGGAAGGUGGCAGGGAAGAGUUUGUUUGAGUGGCUUCAGGAAGGUGGCAGGGAAGAGUUUGAGUGGCUUCAGGAAGGUGGCAGGGAAGAGUUUGUUUGAGUGGCUUCAGGAAGGUGGCAGGGAAGAGUUUGUUUGAGUGGCUUCAGGAAGGUGGCAGGGAAGAGCUUGUUUGAGUGGCUUCAGGAAGGUGGCAGGGAAGAGCUUGUUUGAGUGGCUUCAGGAAGGUGGCAGGGAAGAGUUUGUUUGAGUGGCUUCAGGAAGGUGGCAGGGAAGAGUUUGUUUGAGUGGCUUCAGGAAGG
Molecule: long non-coding RNA, 2722 nt
Organism: Eriocheir sinensis (Chinese mitten crab)
Lineage: Eukaryota; Metazoa; Arthropoda; Malacostraca; Decapoda; Varunidae
Exons: 4
Source: RefSeq, a predicted model, not a curated record